CUCGUAGGUGGUUUGUCGCGUUGUUCGUGAAAACUCACAGCUUAACUGUGGGCGUGCGGGCGAUACGGGCAGACUAGAGUACUGCAGGGGAGACUGGAAUUCCUGGUGUAGCGGUGGAAUGUGCAGAUAUCAGGAGGAACACCGGUGGCGAAGGCGGGUCUCUGGGCAGUAACUGACGCUGAGGAGCGAAAGCGUGGGUAGCGAACA
RNAcentral lists this ribosomal RNA (207 nucleotides) under uncultured bacterium. Its description in RNAcentral is "partial 16S ribosomal RNA". It matches the Rfam family "Bacterial small subunit ribosomal RNA", at positions 568 to 774 of the family's 1533-position model. The record is from RNAcentral.